UACGGAGGGUCCAAGCGUUAUCCGGAAUCAUUGGGUUUAAAGGGUCCGUAGGCGGUCUUGUAAGUCAGUGGUGAAAGCCCAUCGCUCAACGGUGGAACGGCCAUUGAUACUGCAAGACUUGAAUUAUUGUGAAGUAACUAGAAUAUGUAGUGUAGCGGUGAAAUGCUUAGAGAUUACAUGGAAUACCAAUUGCGAAGGCAGGUUACUAACAAUAUAUUGACGCUGAUGGACGAAAAGCGUGGGUAGCGAACAGG
RNAcentral lists this ribosomal RNA (254 nucleotides) under uncultured bacterium. Its description in RNAcentral is "partial 16S ribosomal RNA". It matches the Rfam family "Bacterial small subunit ribosomal RNA", at positions 524 to 776 of the family's 1533-position model. The record is from RNAcentral.